RNAcentral lists this ribosomal RNA (311 nucleotides) under uncultured microorganism. Its description in RNAcentral is "bacterial SSU rRNA". It matches the Rfam family "Bacterial small subunit ribosomal RNA", at positions 9 to 320 of the family's 1533-position model. The record is from RNAcentral.
GAGUUUGAUCAUGGCUCAGGAUGAACGUUAGCGGCGUGCCUAACACAUGCAAGUCGAACGAACAGCCAGAAUCUUAGGAAUCUGGCGGGUUAGUGGCGCACGGGUGAGUAACACGUAGGUGACCUGCCCCGAAGUGGGGGACAACCACUGGAAACAGUGGCUAAUACCGCAUGUGCUUAGCCAUUCGGUUGGUUAAGUAAAGCUGAGGCGCUUCGGGAGGGCCUGCGGUCGAUUAGCUAGUUGGUGAGGUAAUGGCUCACCAAGGCGAUGAUCGAUAGGGGCGUGAGAGCGUGACCCCCACCACUGGACGU